RNAcentral lists this long non-coding RNA (470 nucleotides) under Salvia miltiorrhiza (redroot sage). RNAcentral's name for it is "long non-coding RNA (SMIL_LNC000937)". Lineage: Eukaryota; Viridiplantae; Streptophyta; Magnoliopsida; Lamiales; Lamiaceae. The record is from RNAcentral.
UUUGUUUAGGAGAUAGCUAGAGUUAUUUCAUUGUGUCAGUCAUUGAGGAUACGAUACUUGAUUGCUACAUAUAUGCUACAGUUACACCGUGUUAGUUGCGGUUUAGUUGCUAAAUAAAUUAGUGACCAACUUUUUGGCGCCGUUGCCGGGGACUGAUUAGAAGUUUCAUUAAUAUUUCCGAUAGGGCAUAAUAUUAAUUCAGGUUUUUCUUGGUUUUUUUUAAAAAAAUUUUUUUGUUCCUGAUUUUAAGUGGUGAUUCUGUAGGUUGUGCAUGAUCACACGAUCUCAAGGUAAUCCUUUCUUUGAGUUUGAUCCUGAAAUCGAAGCUACCUAUCGCAAUAUUAAGAAUCAGAAGAAGCAAGAGGAGUUGGAUAGGAUGGCUACCGAGGAAUAAGUGCAAUCACUGCAGGCACAGUUGCAUCAGUUGCUGGCUGAAAAGGCUGCUCUAGAGGCUCAGAAACAGCCUCCGA